UAACUACCCACCAGAGGGGGAUAACACUUGGAAACAGGUGCUAAUACCGCAUAACAGUUUAUGCCGCAUGGCAUAAGAGUGAAAGGCGCUUUCGGGUGUCGCUGAUGGAUGGACCCGCGGUGCAUUAGCUAGUUGGUGAGGUAACGGCUCACCAAGGCCACGAUGCAUAGCCGACCUGAGAGGGUGAUCGGCCACACUGGGACUGAGACGCGGCCCAG
RNAcentral lists this ribosomal RNA (218 nucleotides) under uncultured bacterium. RNAcentral describes it as "partial 16S ribosomal RNA". It matches the Rfam family "Bacterial small subunit ribosomal RNA", at positions 122 to 334 of the family's 1533-position model. The record is from RNAcentral.